This 488-nucleotide long non-coding RNA is filed under the name Brassica napus (rape). Its description in RNAcentral is "long non-coding RNA (BNAP_LNC015467)". The record is from RNAcentral. Lineage: Eukaryota; Viridiplantae; Streptophyta; Magnoliopsida; Brassicales; Brassicaceae.
CUGCCCUCCAGAGUUUGCUAGCUCGAGCAAACCUUACCCUUCUCUCAAAAGCGACGUGUACGCCUUUGGGGUCAUCUUGCUAGAGCUUCUUACGGGAAAAGUGUCCGGAGAUAGCGAUGAUCCAGGGGUCGUUGAAUGGGUUGUUAUGCUUGCGGGACAAAACCGUGCCGCCGAGUGUUUUGACCCGUCCAUUGUUAAGACACAUGCCUCUGGCUCUGGGGUUCUUAUUGAUGUCUUGCAGAUUGCUCUGAGCUGUAUCUCGCAGGCACAAAAGCGACGUGUACGCCUUUGGGGUCAUCUUGCUAGAGCUUCUAACGGGAAAAGUGUCGGGAGAUAGCGAUGAUCCAGGGGUCGUUGAAUGGGUUGUUCUGCUUGCGGGACAAAACCGUGCGUCCGAGUGUUUUGACCCGUCCAUUGUUAAGACACAUGCCUCUGGCUCUGGAGUUCUUAUUGAUGUAUUGCAGAUUGCUCUGAGCUGUAUCUCGCAG